GUAGGUGGCAAGCGUUGUCCGGAAUUAUUGGGCGUAAAGCGCGCGCAGGCGGUCCUUUAAGUCUGAUGUGAAAGCCCACGGCUCAACCGUGGAGGGUCAUUGGAAACUGGGGGACUUGAGUACAGAAGAGGAAAGUGGAAUUCCACGUGUAGCGGUGAAAUGCGUAGAGAUGUGGAGGAACACCAGUGGCGAAGGCGACUUUCUGGUCUGUAACUGACGCUGAGGCGCGAAAGCGUGGGGAGCAAACAGGGAUUAGAUACCCUGGUAGUCCACGCCGUAAACGAUGAGUGCUAAGUGUUAGAGGGUUUCCGCCCCUUUAGUGCUGCAGCUAACGCAUUAAGCACUCCGCCUGGGAGUACGGCCGCAAGGCUG
Molecule: ribosomal RNA, 372 nt
Filed under: uncultured organism
Description: partial 16S ribosomal RNA
Rfam family: Bacterial small subunit ribosomal RNA
Source: RNAcentral